RNAcentral lists this ribosomal RNA (213 nucleotides) under uncultured bacterium. RNAcentral's name for it is "partial 16S ribosomal RNA". It matches the Rfam family "Bacterial small subunit ribosomal RNA", at positions 149 to 355 of the family's 1533-position model. The record is from RNAcentral.
CCUGGAAACAGAUGCUAAUACCGGAUAACAACACUAGACGCAUGUCUAGAGUUUAAAAGAUGGUUCUGCUAUCACUCUUGGAUGGACCUGCGGUGCAUUAGCUAGUUGGUAAGGCAACGGCUUACCACGGCAAUGAUGCAUAGCCGAGUUGAGAGACUGAUCGGCCACAUUGGGACUGAGACACGGCCCAAACUCCUACGGGAGGCAGCAGCC